CCUGAGAUUUUGAUGGUCUCUAGGAAUGUGAAAAUCAGAUACUUGUGACUACUAUAAAGUCUAUGUUAGUGAAAUUCCAUCAUUUGAAUUUCACUAACAUAGACUUUAUGAAGGGUCUACAAGGCAAAUGUGACUCCAAAGGAAAUAUGUAAAGGCGUAAAACAUGACUUAAAUCGGAAGAUUUUGUGCAAACAAAAUGAGAGGACAAUUGCAUUCAUGCAAAGUUAUAGAAUGGGAAAUUCGUUUCCCAACUCCUGUGCAUGUGGGAUGACAUCCUACUUGCUAGUGGUGAUGUCAAUUCUAGUGCAGGAGGAGAGAAGAAGUUCUUGUCCUCAGAGUUCAAAAGAAUAAAAGGGGGUAUUAGGAAUGUCGCAUGAAAAUGCUAAGAAAGAUUUCUAAAGUAUGCAUACGAGAAAACUUACACCUGUUCUUAUAGUCAAGGGUAAUGGAAGUGGAAACUAUGGUGUUCCAAAAGUUAAUAAGGAAAGAUUGUAAACGGAUAUGGUACCAUAUGCUUCGGUUGUUGGAAGCACAAGAUGUUACCCUGACACUGUUCACACGUAUAUAUCCGGGUUGUUUUGGCAAUGUCGAGUCCAUAGAUAAAUCAAUGGAAUGGAGUCAAAGAUAUCGGCCUCAUGCUAAAAGAAAUAAGUGCUCUCAAAAGAUUGUGAGUACAAAGGCAGGACUUGUGAAAUGUAUAGCGAAAUCCACAAUUGUCGCUAACUUUCAUACUCGGAGUUUUGUGUGGAAAAUCUCCAAAUGAGUAAAACGAUUGUCAUCAAUGUGAUGCAAUGAUAUGUUAUAGCUUGAUAUGAGGCUAAGGGACGGGCAACAUGGUUAAGGCUACCUGUACCCGGAGUGGAU
This 864-nucleotide long non-coding RNA is filed under the name Hordeum vulgare. RNAcentral's name for it is "long non-coding RNA (HVUL_LNC013965)". The record is from RNAcentral. Lineage: Eukaryota; Viridiplantae; Streptophyta; Magnoliopsida; Poales; Poaceae.